CCGGCGGCCGCGGCCCGCGCCCCUCCGCCGCCGGCGGCCCCAUUAGCUCCUCCGCUGCUGCUGGAAGAAGAUCAGCAAUGCUGAUGAUAAAAACUAAGAACAGUGGAAACAAAAGAAACAAGAAGGAGGCAGAAGGCAACUUAAUCUGAAUCAGCCCUAUCCGAUCAAACACUCCAACCCCGGAGGGAGGAAGCGCGUUGUUGGAGGAACUAAGGAUAAUCCAGCUUGACCUUCAGUUGCAGGACAAGAACCGUGGUGUAGUGAAAGCUGCACCGGAUUUAGGAGACCUGGGGUCUAGGUCUGGGACCAAAUUAAGUUACUGUAUUGAGCAAGUUAUUUUGCCUUUUUUGACUUGAGUUUCCUUUCUGGGAUAUUCGAAUAUAAAUCCCUAGGGCACUUGCAGCUUAAAAAUCCGAUAAUUUCUCUAAAAAGGAAUUUUUAAAAUAUAUUUAUUGCAGAGAGGAAGGGAGAAGGGGAGAGAGAAACAUCAAUGAUGAGAGAGAAUCAUUGAUCAGCUGCCUCCUGCAUGCCCCCUACUGAGGAUCCAGCCAGCACAUCCCAGUCAUGUGCCCUGACUGGGAAUGGAACUGUGACCUCCUUGUUCAUAGGUCCAUGCUCAACCACUGAGCCACACUCACUGGGCUAGAAUGGAACUUAUUAAAAUUACCAGCCCACUCCUGUGACCUAGUAUCUUGGUAGUAGAGCCUGGUCUGCAUGCCCAGUGGCCAGCCUGCUCUAACCCUCCCCUUUUGAAAAUGCCUAAAGUGUUCUCUAUGCAAAAAUAAUAGCAAUUGUUUUCUUUUUUUGUACAAACUACAGAAAUAAAUACUUUGUCUUCUU
Molecule: long non-coding RNA, 840 nt
Organism: Eptesicus fuscus (big brown bat)
Lineage: Eukaryota; Metazoa; Chordata; Mammalia; Chiroptera; Vespertilionidae
Exons: 2
Source: RefSeq, a predicted model, not a curated record